Myxocyprinus asiaticus (Chinese sucker) is the source of this 540-nucleotide long non-coding RNA. RefSeq lists it as uncharacterized. The transcript is spliced from 3 exons. Lineage: Eukaryota; Metazoa; Chordata; Actinopteri; Cypriniformes; Catostomidae. The record is from RefSeq and is a predicted model, not a curated record.
CCUCUCAGCUGGAACAACUUUCACUGUGAGCAAGUUCAGCCUAAUAUUGGCUCCAUCACAUCCAGUGUGCAGUUUAACAUCAGAUAAAGUCAAUGACAACACGCUUCACUGGACGAAUGCCAAAAUAUCCCUGCUGCAUUUGACAACACUGAAUCACUGCAGCUAUAACAAACACAAUCAUCAAGACAUGACAUACAGUUGUGUUGUGUUCUGUUGUCUCUAUUGCUGUGGAGGACCUGUUUUUAGAUAAACAAAACGAGUUAUCGAUUGAACGCCCCAAUGUCGUGAGGGGACUGCAUGAACUGUUGCUCUCGUGUCCUAUCAUGAACGCACACAGGAGAUCAACGCUUGAAGAGGAGGUCACCAUAAACUGCCAUUGUAUGACAUCACUGAGCACAACAUUUAUUCACAAUUUCUCCCUUUGUGUAAAUAAAAAGAAAGAAAGUCAUAUAGGGUUAUAACAACACAGGGGUGAGUUAAGUUUAAACAAUGACUGAAUUUUCAUUUUUGGGUGAAUUAUCCCUUUAAUCAAAUGCAUUA